This 26-nucleotide non-coding RNA is filed under the name Homo sapiens (human). The record is from RNAcentral. Lineage: Eukaryota; Metazoa; Chordata; Mammalia; Primates; Hominidae.
UCAAAUGUGUGUGUUGAAUGAAUGAA